RNAcentral lists this transfer RNA (90 nucleotides) under Patescibacteria group bacterium. Its description in RNAcentral is "tRNA-Ser". It matches the Rfam family "tRNA". Rfam says of the family: Transfer RNA (tRNA) molecules are approximately 80 nucleotides in length. The record is from RNAcentral.
GGAGAGGUGCCCGAGAGGCUGAAGGGAGCGGUUUGCUAAACCGUUAUACGCUCAAAAGGUGUAUCGUGGGUUCGAAUCCCACCCUCUCCG